AAGCACUGCCUUUGAACCUGGUGUCUCUUGUUUGUAGUUUCACAGGCCAAGCAACAGUGCCUAGAGCAUAAUGACGUGUUAUACCUGGGGCUCUUCAGCUCUCAGCUGAACUGCUCUUUUAAAAACAAGGGACAUUU
Molecule: small nucleolar RNA, 137 nt
Organism: Heterocephalus glaber (naked mole-rat)
Lineage: Eukaryota; Metazoa; Chordata; Mammalia; Rodentia; Bathyergidae
Source: Ensembl